RNAcentral lists this ribosomal RNA (431 nucleotides) under uncultured bacterium. RNAcentral describes it as "partial 16S ribosomal RNA". It matches the Rfam family "Bacterial small subunit ribosomal RNA", at positions 29 to 507 of the family's 1533-position model. The record is from RNAcentral.
AACGAACGCUGGCGGCAGGCUUAACACAUGCAAGUCGAGCGCCCCGCAAGGGGAGCGGCAGACGGGUGAGUAACGCGUGGGAACGUACCUUUUGGUUCGGAACAACUCCGGGAAACUGGAGCUAAUACCGGAUAAGCCCUAACGGGGAAAGAUUUAUCGCCGAAAGAUCGGCCCGCGUCUGAUUAGCUAGUUGGUGAGGUAACGGCUCACCAAGGCGACGAUCAGUAGCUGGUCUGAGAGGAUGAUCAGCCACACUGGGACUGAGACACGGACCAGACUCCUACGGGAGGCAGCAGUGGGGAAUAUUGGACAAUGGGCGCAAGCCUGAUCCAGCCAUGCCGCGUGAGUGAUGAAGGCCUUAGGGUUGUAAAGCUCUUUUGUCCGGGAAGAUAAUGACUGUACCGGAAGAAUAAGCCCCGGCUAACUUCGUG